RNAcentral lists this ribosomal RNA (497 nucleotides) under uncultured bacterium. RNAcentral describes it as "partial 16S ribosomal RNA". It matches the Rfam family "Bacterial small subunit ribosomal RNA", at positions 28 to 507 of the family's 1533-position model. The record is from RNAcentral.
GAUGAACGCUGGCGGCGUGCCUAAUACAUGCAAGUCGAGCGAACGGACGAGAAGCUUGCUUCUCUGAUGUUAGCGGCGGACGGGUGAGUAACACGUGGAUAACCUACCUAUAAGACUGGGAUAACUUCGGGAAACCGGAGCUAAUACCGGCUGAUAUUUUGAACCGCAUGGUUCAAAAGUGAAAGACGGUCUUGCUGUCACUUAUAGAUGGAUCCGCGCUGCAUUAGCUAGUUGGUAAGGUAACGGCUUACCAAGGCAACGAUGCAUAGCCGACCUGAGAGGGUGAGCGGCCACACUGGAACUGAGACACGGUCCAGACUCCUACGGGAGGCAGCAGUAGGGAAUCUUCCGCAAUGGGCGAAAGCCUGACGGAGCAACGCCGCGUGAGUGAUGAAGGUCUUCGGAUCGUAAAACUCUGUUAUUAGGGAAGAACAUAUGUGUAAGUAACUGUGCACAUCUUGACGGUACCUAAUCAGAAAGCCACGGCUAACUACGUG